RNAcentral lists this ribosomal RNA (250 nucleotides) under uncultured bacterium. Its description in RNAcentral is "partial 16S ribosomal RNA". It matches the Rfam family "Bacterial small subunit ribosomal RNA", at positions 28 to 277 of the family's 1533-position model. The record is from RNAcentral.
GAUGAACGCUGGCGGCGUGCUUAACACAUGCAAGUCGAACGGAAAGGCCCUUGCUUGCAAGGGUGCUCGAGUGGCGAACGGGUGAGUAACACGUAGGUGAUCUGCCUUUCACUUCGGGAUAAGCUUGGGAAACUGGGUCUAAUACCGGAUAUUCACGGCACCGUGGUUGGUGUGGUGGAAAGCUUUUGCGGUGGGAGAUGAGCUUGCGGCCUAUCAGCUUGUUGGUGGGGUAAUGGCCUACCAAGGCGGC